GAGGAAGAGACUCAGACCUCAGCAUCAUUUCUUGUAAAGUUCCAGACAUUCAAACAUGGGAGCAUCUGAAAGCAGCCCUGAAUUUCACUCUGUUAUGGCUGAUAAACAAGUGAAAGUCGGACAGGAUGUUACUCUUCACUGUGAGGUGAACACACGAGAAGUAACAGCAACGUGGGAGAAGAACGGACGCAGCUUGGAAUGUGUGGAGGGCAAACACUUGAUAAGACAAAGUGGUACAUCAAUUACCUUGACAAUCAAGAAUGUUCAACAAGCGGAUGGAGGGAGAUACACAGUACACCUGAGGAAUGUCUCUGGCAGUACCUCAUGCUCUGCUAUGGUCAUUGUUUGUAAUUAAGAAUUGUGCACCUCAGUGACUAAGUACUUUAUUCAAACACUAACAGGCUGCUCACUGUAAUCGUCAUGGACAGUCAUCCACUAAGUCUUUAUGGCUCUACCAAGACGUCUUAUAUCAGAAU
Colossoma macropomum (tambaqui) is the source of this 476-nucleotide long non-coding RNA. RefSeq lists it as uncharacterized. The transcript has 3 exons. NCBI's taxonomy places the organism in Eukaryota, Metazoa, Chordata, Actinopteri, Characiformes, Serrasalmidae. The record is from RefSeq and is a predicted model, not a curated record.